UACAGAGGGGGCAAGCGUUGUUCGGAAUUACUGGGCGUAAAGGGCGCGUAGGCGGCCUGUUAAGUCGAACGUGAAAUCCCCGGGCUCAACCCGGGAACUGCGUCCGAUACUGGCAGGCUUGAAUCCGGGAGAGGGAUGCGGAAUUCCAGGUGUAGCGGUGAAAUGCGUAGAUAUCUGGAGGAACACCGGUGGCGAAGGCGGCAUCCUGGACCGGCAUUGACGCGUGAGGCGCCGAAAGCCAGGGGAGCAA
RNAcentral lists this ribosomal RNA (250 nucleotides) under uncultured bacterium. RNAcentral describes it as "partial 16S ribosomal RNA". It matches the Rfam family "Bacterial small subunit ribosomal RNA", at positions 524 to 771 of the family's 1533-position model. The record is from RNAcentral.